This 1667-nucleotide ribosomal RNA is filed under the name Escherichia coli. RNAcentral's name for it is "partial 23S ribosomal RNA". It matches the Rfam family "Bacterial large subunit ribosomal RNA", at positions 1292 to 2925 of the family's 2925-position model. The record is from RNAcentral. Lineage: Bacteria; Pseudomonadati; Pseudomonadota; Gammaproteobacteria; Enterobacterales; Enterobacteriaceae.
GAAUGCUGACAUAAGUAACGAUAAAGCGGGUGAAAAGCCCGCUCGCCGGAAGACCAAGGGUUCCUGUCCAACGUUAAUCGGGGCAGGGUGAGUCGACCCCUAAGGCGAGGCCGAAAGGCGUAGUCGAUGGGAAACAGGUUAAUAUUCCUGUACUUGGUGUUACUGCGAAGGGGGGACGGAGAAGGCUAUGUUGGCCGGGCGACGGUUGUCCCGGUUUAAGCGUGUAGGCUGAUUUUCCAGGCAAAUCCGGAAAAUCAAGGCUGAGGCGUGAUGACGAGGCACUACGGUGCUGAAGCGACAAAUGCCCUGCUUCCAGGAAAAGCCUCUAAGCAUCAGGUAACAUCAAAUCGUACCCCAAACCGACACAGGUGGUCAGGUAGAGAAUACCAAGGCGCUUGAGAGAACUCGGGUGAAGGAACUAGGCAAAAUGGUGCCGUAACUUCGGGAGAAGGCACGCUGAUAUGUAGGUGAAGCGACUUGCUCGUGGAGCUGAAAUCAGUCGAAGAUACCAGCUGGCUGCAACUGUUUAUUAAAAACACAGCACUGUGCAAACACGAAAGUGGACGUAUACGGUGUGACGCCUGCCCGGUGCCGGAAGGUUAAUUGAUGGGGUUAGCGGCAACGCGAAGCUCUUGAUCGAAGCCCCGGUAAACGGCGGCCGUAACUAUAACGGUCCUAAGGUAGCGAAAUUCCUUGUCGGGUAAGUUCCGACCUGCACGAAUGGCGUAAUGAUGGCCAGGCUGUCUCCACCCGAGACUCAGUGAAAUUGAACUCGCUGUGAAGAUGCAGUGUACCCGCGGCAAGACGGAAAGACCCCGUGAACCUUUACUAUAGCUUGACACUGAACAUUGAGCCUUGAUGUGUAGGAUAGGUGGGAGGCUUUGAAGUGUGGACGCCAGUCUGCAUGGAGCCGACCUUGAAAUACCACCCUUUAAUGUUUGAUGUUCUAACGUUGGCCCGUAAUCCGGGUUGCGGACAGUGUCUGGUGGGUAGUUUGACUGGGGCGGUCUCCUCCUAAAGAGUAACGGAGGAGCACGAAGGUUGGCUAAUCCUGGUCGGACAUCAGGAGGUUAGUGCAAUGGCAUAAGCCAGCUUGACUGCGAGCGUGACGGCGCGAGCAGGUGCGAAAGCAGGUCAUAGUGAUCCGGUGGUUCUGAAUGGAAGGGCCAUCGCUCAACGGAUAAAAGGUACUCCGGGGAUAACAGGCUGAUACCGCCCAAGAGUUCAUAUCGACGGCGGUGUUUGGCACCUCGAUGUCGGCUCAUCACAUCCUGGGGCUGAAGUAGGUCCCAAGGGUAUGGCUGUUCGCCAUUUAAAGUGGUACGCGAGCUGGGUUUAGAACGUCGUGAGACAGUUCGGUCCCUAUCUGCCGUGGGCGCUGGAGAACUGAGGGGGGCUGCUCCUAGUACGAGAGGACCGGAGUGGACGCAUCACUGGUGUUCGGGUUGUCAUGCCAAUGGCACUGCCCGGUAGCUAAAUGCGGAAGAGAUAAGUGCUGAAAGCAUCUAAGCACGAAACUUGCCCCGAGAUGAGUUCUCCCUGACUCCUUGAGAGUCCUGAAGGAACGUUGAAGACGACGACGUUGAUAGGCCGGGUGUGUAAGCGCAGCGAUGCGUUGAGCUAACCGGUACUAAUGAACCGUGAGGCUUAACCUUACAACGCCGAAG